UUCAACUUGAGAGUUUGAUCCUGGCUCAGAACGAACGCUGGCGGCAGGCUUAACACAUGCAAGUCGAGCGAGAUCUUCGGAUCUAGCGGCGGACGGGUGAGUAA
RNAcentral lists this ribosomal RNA (104 nucleotides) under Paracoccus homiensis. Its description in RNAcentral is "16S rRNA. Bacterial SSU". It matches the Rfam family "Bacterial small subunit ribosomal RNA", at positions 1 to 113 of the family's 1533-position model. The record is from RNAcentral. Lineage: Bacteria; Pseudomonadati; Pseudomonadota; Alphaproteobacteria; Rhodobacterales; Paracoccaceae.